This is a non-coding RNA of Punica granatum (pomegranate), 1869 nucleotides long. NCBI's taxonomy places the organism in Eukaryota, Viridiplantae, Streptophyta, Magnoliopsida, Myrtales, Lythraceae. The record is from RefSeq and is a predicted model, not a curated record.
AUCAAAUAUUUUCACCGGAUGUCACAGAAUUUUUUCACUACGUGCCAUGCCUUCAAUAUUUCUUCAAGAAUUGGAUGGAAUGCUGAUGUGGCUUGAUUUUGGGACGAACCUUGCACAGUCGGAAGCACACGUCACUCGAGCGGGACCCACAUGCCACCAUCUUCUUCAUCUCUUUCUCUUCUUUGCUCCCUACGCACACACUGACAAACACAACUCCCUUCCUCCUUUGUCUCCUCCACCUAAAACCAUCACCUCAUCUUCAUCAUCGCCAUGCAGCACUAAGCAACAACAUGGCAAGAAGAAGAGGGAGACGACAGGAACAACUCAGGAAUGGAGGAUAGGAAAGAGCAGCAACAGCAUCUCAGGAGCUUGGGGAAAGAGCGGCCAUUCUAGAGUAGCUCGAGAGCUCGGAAAGGAGCAACAUUGACUCAGCAGGGCGCUCAAAUGAACAACACGGCAACAACAAAGAAGUAGAAGCUGAGAGGAAGAUAGUGAUAAAGCGAUGGAGGCUCCUAUGGGUCCUAUUCCCUUGUCCCUCCUUUGACGUUCUUCCCUCUCCCCUUCUAUCUUCAUCAUAGCUCAGCCAUCAUCUUUUAUCAUCGUCAUUGCCCCCCUCUUUCUCUCGGCCUCCCAUCAUCACAGCUACAUCCACCUCCAUCACCAUCCUUUGCCCAUCACCAUCUCCAUCCUCUGCCCAUUACUAUCUCCAUCCUCUGCUUUCUCUCUAUUAGCUCUAUCCUCUGUACCUUUCAUCACCAAUGCCACCCUCAACUCCUUCUUCACCUUUGCCUUUAGCUGUUACAUCCCUCUUAUCCUUUGCCCUCAUGACCAUGGCCCUCUACCAUAAUCACCAGCAUCUCUUUCCUUUUCUCUCCCCCACUCUUUCAACUUCCCUUACACGGAUACAAACCACCAGCAUCUUCUCAUCUCCCCCUUCCACUUCCAUGGGCGCCCUUUAAACCAUUUAUCCUCCUCUGCCCUGUGUCUUCAUCACCAAUCUCCUGUUGCCUCCUUCAUUUUCAAUCAUCAUCCUCAGCUUUUCCUUGUCCUUUAGCCACUCCAUGACCUCCUCAGCCGCCUCUAUCCCUUUACCACUAUCUUUCUCUCAACUCCUACUUCUUUGCGUUGGGAAAAAUAGACGAUAGUAGAAGAAAUUCUGAACGAAAAGCAAAAAAGACACGAAAUUAAUUACCCAGUUCGUCAGAGAAGAAAUUCUGACUACAUCUAGAGGCGCCGCCAAGCCAGAACAAAACAUGAGCUCUCGAUUUGGAAUCACAGUACUUCAAGUUUCAUAACUCAACACUUUGUCGCUGCCGCGCUGCUCCUCUGAGCUCCUCGCUGAGUCAUUGCUGCUCCUUUCCGAGCUCCCGAGCUAUUGUUGCAUGGCCGCUCCUUCCCCCGAGCUCCUGAGAUGCCGUUGCUAUUCUUUCCUAUCCUCCACUGCUGAGUUGUUGUUGCCUUCUCCCUCUCCUUCUUGCCAUGUUGCUGCUUACUGCUGCAUGGCGAUGAUGAAGAUGAAGGCGAUGGUUUCGGAUGGAGGAGACAGAGGAUGGAAGGAGUUGUGUUUGUCUGUGUAUGCGUAGGGAGCAAAUAAGAGAAAGAGAAGAAGAAGAUGGUGGCGUGUGAGUCCCACUCAAGUGACAUGUACGUUCGGUUGUGCAAUGAUUGUCCUAAAAUUAAGUCAUGCCAGUAUUCUGUCCGAUUUCUAAGAGAAUGUUAACUACAUGACGCGUGGUGAAAAAAAAAUCUGUGAUAUCCGAUAAAAAUAUUUGGUUUUGUGAUGUGGGGUGAAAAACCUAAAAAAAUGUGACAUGUGGUGUUAUUUACCCCAUUUAUUUUGUAUAUAGUUGUGAUUCCGAAUACUUAAAA